AAGAGAGAGACAUGCGCGCAUAUCAAUAAGCGGAGGAAAAGAAACUAACAAGGAUUCCCUUAGUAACGGCGAGUGAAGCGGGAAGAGCUCAAAUUUGAAAUCCUCAAGGUUUUACCUUGACGAAUUGUAGUUUAAAGAAGUGUUUUCUGCUGAAGUUUUGGUAAAAGUUCUUUGGAAUAGGACAUCAUAGAGGGUGAGAAUCCCGUAUUUGACCAUUAUUUUCAGCUUUGUGAUACACUUUCAAAGAGUCGGAUUGUUUGGGAAUGCAGUCCAAAAUGGGUGGUAAAUUUCAUCUAAAGCUAAAUAUUGGCGAGAGACCGAUAGCGAACAAGUACCGUGAGGGAAAGAUGAAAAGAACUUUGAAAAGAGAGUUAAACAGUACGUGAAAUUGUCAAAAGGGAAGCGUUUGACACCAGUGUUGUUUUCUCGAAAAUCAAUUAAAAAUGGCUCGAUUUUGUAUUGCUUGAGACCUUAAAAGCUCACUGUACAUUUUUCGUGUCUUUUUUAAUGCACUUUUCGUUUAACAAGUCAACAUCAGUUUCUUUUGUUGUAAAAGGGUCAUUGGAAGGUGGCUUUCUUUUCGGAGAAAGUGUUUAUAGCCUUUGGCCUCUGCAAUCGGAGAGACUGAGGUCUGCAGCGUAGACUCUUCGGGGUUAGAUACAUUUGUGCUAAGUUAUAGCUUUUUAUAGACAACUUGUUGACUAUAAUUAGUCUUGUAGCUUACUCGCUUAUGCUAUUUUACCUACGCUUAGGAUGUUGAAGAUGUAGCACAUCAU
RNAcentral lists this ribosomal RNA (776 nucleotides) under uncultured Neocallimastigales. RNAcentral describes it as "partial large subunit ribosomal RNA". It matches the Rfam family "Eukaryotic large subunit ribosomal RNA", at positions 23 to 620 of the family's 3401-position model. The record is from RNAcentral. Lineage: Eukaryota; Fungi; Neocallimastigomycota; Neocallimastigomycetes; Neocallimastigales.